Molecule: non-coding RNA, 1508 nt
Organism: Podarcis lilfordi (Lilford's wall lizard)
Lineage: Eukaryota; Metazoa; Chordata; Lepidosauria; Squamata; Lacertidae
Source: the annotation of a GenBank genome assembly
AAAAAUAGCACUAAAUUGUUGAUUAAUUUUUAGGAGGUUUUUUUUUUUCAAAAUUGCAAAAUAUGGAGAACUGAAUUUAAGUUUGGAAAAAAAUCUUUCCAACCCUAUAUUGUCACGUAUCUCCCCCCACUCGAGGAAGUGCCAAAUCAUCAUCUUCAUCCCCAUCCAGCUUCAUUAUUGUUCCACUCUAAGAUAUGCUUAAAAUGCUCCAUUCUCUUGCAGCUUAGGAAUUCGUCCUUUCUGAAUUUCUACAUUGAAUGCUUUGAUCCGCACCUUUCAGACUCAUAUGUGCAUGGGAAUUUAGCUGUUCACUGGCUUUAGCACUCCUCCAAUUAUUGCAGCUGCCAGCAGUUUAUAUUAUCAAAAUAUGCAAUUAAAUAUCUAAAAAAUAUUUUGGAGAGGAAAUAUGUAUUUAAAAACAUGUUUGGAAGGAUUUUUAAAAUUAUUUUUACUGUAGAAAAAAUAUUAUUAUUCAUUUCAUUUCUAUACAGCUUUACAUUUUUAGGAAAAAUUCUCAGAGCAGUUUACAAUAUAUUAAAAGACCAAACAAUCCAGAAUGAAACGUUACCGAAGAAAAUAGAAGGGGAUUGUGGAUUUUAAAACCCACAAAGUAAGAAAGAAGAGAAAUAGAUACAUUCAUCCAUUCCAGUCUUGUCAGUAGCUUUUGCUGCAAAAAUAGCAGGCUGGAGGAGGAGUAAUUCUACAGUCUUAUUCCUCUGUUUAUUUCCUGUAAGGCAGCAAUCAAAUAAAAUGGAUGUAUGUAGUAUGGAUCUGCUGAUAGGUGGGAGAUUGGGUGGUUAAUUGAUUCUGAUAGGCUGGUGUGACCUAACAGAAUAGAUACUAAGGAUUUGCAGGGGAUGCUGAGGUUAAUGAAAUGUAGACCUGGUUUCAUUUGUGGAAAUUAACAUCAAAUGUCUGCAUUCUCAAUGAGCCCAAUGUCACAUCUCAUUUCUGAGAUGAGCUGCAUUUGCUAAAGGGUACCACUUGGUCCAUGCGCUAUGUCUUGUUGGUGUAUCAGCCAGCUGCCAAAUGAUUCUGACCAGAGCAUAGGUGAACCAGAGACCUCAGAGUUAUUUUCUACAGAUCCAUGCGGGAGCUCAGAGCUGAUUCCCCAUCCAAAUGAUGUGCAAAGGGAAGGAAAGGGAAAAAGGCAACUCACACAAUGAUUCUUUCAGUCUCUUGGGAAAAUUCAGAGUUUGAGAAGAACUUCAUAUGGCCAGAUAUUUAAUAUUUUCACUCUUAUCUCUCGACAAGGGCAAGCAUUUAAAAAAAUAAAUAAAUCCAAGUGCUAUAAAGGGUAACAACUUUCCAACUCUCUUUGAGAUUUUCAUCCAAGGUAACACAAAAAUCUUGUUUAUGGGCAUAUGUACAUAGAGACCUAUGUAUAUAGAGGCAUAUGUGUAAAUAUAUAUAGACACUGUUGUUCAUAUGGAUAAUGUUUAUCGGUAUUACAAAAUCAGUGGUGCUCUUUCUCCCUUCCUUUUUAAUAAAAUUCAAAACAAAAAAAC